CCAAUCAAACGGAAGUCUGAGAGAGGUUCUCCAGGCCCCUUCCCAAUCAGGAAACUUGGGUGAUGCGAGGAGCGAAGGGGCGGAGGGGGGAGCCGGGUCCAGUUGGGAGCGGAGCGCCGGCGAUUUUGGCUGGUCCGCGAAGGGCAUUCGAGUGACCGCCGGCCACGGUUGGGACAGCGGCGGGCCAGGGGCGAGAACCUGAAGUGAAUGCUCGCAGGACUUGCCUCUGGGUGCGCUAGUUUGUGUGUGUCAGAGUUCGGUGACAGACAUACUUAGCAUCCCACUCACGGGCGGUUUUCCACGGGGCGAUUUCAUCCAAGGAGGAAUUCUCGGGCGCGCUGUGUGACACCGGGAAGGGAUGUAGCGCGUCACUGCCGCCUUCAAUCCAGCAGGGAUAUAGUAAAUAAAGAAAAGUAGAUGCGGGUCUCCGCUCCACCGGGCGCAGGUGGGCAGACUCCAGACAGACAGAGGCAACAGCUGAAUGCGCACAAGGGAGUAAAUACUGAGCGAGGUGCGGCUGGGAGGACCAAAAAAAAAAAAAAGGCGAAGUGCACAGCUUUUGAUUAUACAGGUCGUGGAUACAUCACGAACCUGAACCUCAGCCCUACCACACUAGAGGCGAGGGGGGAAAAAAAUCCAAUGUAGCCGAAAUAGACUGUGAAAGGACCUUAGAGAUGAUCUAAAUCAAGUCCUGCAUUUUACAGAUGAGUAAACUGACUCAGCGAGGUAUUUGGCCCAAGGUCAUCCAUCAAGUUGGUAGUUUAAUUAAACUCUGUGCUAGGAAGCAGGGAUUAGGAGAGCAUGGACCUCGGAGUCUGAAAUCCUGGUUUCGGGUCCUUGCAGGCUGUUUGAAAAGUGCGUCUUGGGCACAUCUCUGUAAACAUGUUACCAUGUAUUGUUUACCACGUGGCAGACAACCCGCCUUACAUGCCAUUUGCAUGACGUGCGGUGCAUUGCACAGUUAUUCCUAUUUCCAUUUCAUAGGGCAGCUUGGGUUUAAAGAUACUAGUGACUCCCUCCCCACCAAAGUCGCACAGUUCUAAUAUAGCAAUAAUUCAAACUCAGGUCUUCCAGACUCCAGUCUGGCGUCUUGAAUAUUACAGUCCACUGCAGCUCCCCGGUUCCUCCCCGCCUAAAGCAGGCACUGAUACUCCAACUUUCACAAUUCCUUGAAGUCAGUUGAGAUUGUAUACGUGGAAAUGUGUCGGAAACUGUGGAAAGAUGUAAGCGUAGUCCCUAGAUUUCUGUAAUGAAGAUGUUCGCUUUGCGUAGUUUGCACUAUAGCACUUCAACCUGGAAGAUGGCUUUCAUACUGAGCCAGUUUAAGAACGGAUCUCGCUAUCACUAUAUAUCUUAAUGAAGAAAUGCGUGCCUAUCUGAAAGCACAACCAAACAGAAUAAAUACUAAUUUCUGAUAGAUCAAAAAGGGAGUAGAAAAGAAUACUUAACCCUGCUCUCAGUGUCCUUUAUUGGAAGAAGCAUAUUGGAGGCGCUGGGGUUUCUGGUGGCUUUUAAGUGAUGAAACAUAGAUGAAACAUAGAUUCCUCUACUGAUAGAGGAAGAGAGAGGGUUUAGUUUGAGACUAAAAGUUUAUCUGCUACAUGAAAAAUACAUCUGCCUCCAUCAGGAAAGAACAUAACACUGAGAUCUGAAAGAAAAGAAAACAAGAGUUACAGACAGUGAUUGGGAGAGACAGAAACAAAGGUCUUCCAUCUCCUGGUUCACUCCCCAAUGGCCGCAACUGCUGGAACUGUGCCGAUCUGAAGCCAGAAGCUAGGAGCCUCCUCCAGGUCUCCCAUGCAAGUGCAGGGGCUCAAGGACCUGGGCCAUCCUCCACUGCCCUCCCAGGCCACAGCAGAGAGCUGGAUCAGAAGAGGAGCCACCAGAACUAGAACCGGUGCCCAUAUGGGAUGCCAGCACCAAAG
Non-coding RNA from Oryctolagus cuniculus (rabbit), 1925 nucleotides. NCBI's taxonomy places the organism in Eukaryota, Metazoa, Chordata, Mammalia, Lagomorpha, Leporidae. The record is from RefSeq and is a predicted model, not a curated record.